This 332-nucleotide ribosomal RNA is filed under the name uncultured eukaryote. Its description in RNAcentral is "partial 18S ribosomal RNA". It matches the Rfam family "Eukaryotic small subunit ribosomal RNA", at positions 1470 to 1796 of the family's 1831-position model. The record is from RNAcentral.
CCCUUGGAUGUCCUGGGCUGCACGCGCGCUACACUGGAAGUUACGGAUUGAGAUACUACCUUGUCCGAAAUGGUCCGGGUAAUCACCUAAAAGCUUGUCAUAAUUGGAAUGGAUUAUUGUAACUAGUAAUCCUGAACGAGGAAUUCCUAGUAAGUCCCAGUCAACAGCUGGUACUGAUUACGUCCCUGCCCUUUGUACACACCGCCCGUCGCUACUACUGAUUGGACGUUUAAGCAAGAUUUUUAAACACUGACAGUGUGUAGUUCACGCUAUACUACAGUGAGAAGAAGAAGAUCGAGCUUACUUGUCUAGAGGAAGUAAAAGUCGUAACA